This 497-nucleotide ribosomal RNA is filed under the name uncultured bacterium. RNAcentral's name for it is "partial 16S ribosomal RNA". It matches the Rfam family "Bacterial small subunit ribosomal RNA", at positions 28 to 507 of the family's 1533-position model. The record is from RNAcentral.
GACGAACGCUGGCGGCGUGCCUAAUACAUGCAAGUUGAGCGCUGAAGGUUGGUACUUGUACCAACUGGAUGAGCAGCGAACGGGUGAGUAACGCGUGGGGAAUCUGCCUUUGAGCGGGGGACAACAUUUGGAAACGAAUGCUAAUACCGCAUAAAAACUUUAAACACAAGUUUUAAGUUUGAAAGAUGCAAUUGCAUCACUCAAAGAUGAUCCCGCGUUGUAUUAGCUAGUUGGUGAGGUAAAGGCUCACCAAGGCGAUGAUACAUAGCCGACCUGAGAGGGUGAUCGGCCACAUUGGGACUGAGACACGGCCCAAACUCCUACGGGAGGCAGCAGGAGGGAAUCUUCGGCCAUGGACGAAAGUCUGACCGAGCAACGCCGCGGGAGUGAAGAAGGUUUUCGGGUCGUAAAACUCUGUUGGUAGAGAAGAACGUUGGUGAGAGUGGAAAGCUCAUCAAGUGACGGUAACUACCCAGAAAGGGACGGCUAACUACGUG